ACUAUCUCGUCUGUUGUGAUUAUACAAGUUAGACGUUAUCACUCCUGACAGGCGUUAUCUUAUCUUUCCAUCCUAGACAAGAUAUACCGUGAUAAUUAAACCACUGAUUUAGAUAGUUUGGCAUUCUUGGAAAAUUACACAACAAAAACAAAGAGAUACGGAUGAUGAAUAGCGACUCACGUCCUGAAGAAUAGCUGAGAAAGGUUAAGGGUCUGAGGAAUGUUAAAAACGACUAGCGACAGACACCCACGGACGCAAUUCAUCUAUUUCAACUCCUUAUUUUUUCAGGAGGAAGAGCCACAAGGAAAGUUGAUGCUGUGUUUAUUAUUGGAAGUGACGACUCAAGUGUACAACUCAGUACGUCGUAGCCGCAGCCAAACCGGUUUGUAGGUGGUGAAGUCAGCCGUGCCAUACAUUCUGAACUAGUGACGUCAUCGGCCAUCAAGGUGGCCGUGACUUACUUCCGACACGCCGCGACGCUGAGAGGAAAUUGAGUUUAUAAAGGUUAUGUUUGGUUUAAUAUGGAUAAUUCUUAUAAUAAAGUCUAUCAAUGUAUUUUAAAAAAUACGUGAAAUGAGUCGUAAUUCAAAUUUUAGAUGAAUAUUUGUCAUUAUUUUUAUCGGAUAAUGUUUUUAAUACAUUUUUAAUGGUAGAAGAGAUACAACUAGCGAUGUCACUAUACAAGAAUGUGUAUAAAUACCGCUAAGAUAUUUUAAAAUAGAAAUAUCAUCCCAAUAUUCUUAGGCUAGAUACGAAAGUGAAUGGGUUCUGUGAGCAACUGCCAACUAAAAAAUUUGAAAUAAACAGUAAAUAACAUUGAAUGAGAUCCACUGUAGAAGUUCUAGUGUUAAGUGCAUAAUGUCGCUAAUUUACUUAAUGCAUUUGAAAACUGACUAAACGAAUAAACACAUUAUAAAAUUAUCUUUGAUAAAUUACUAAACAUAACCGAAAUUCUAAUUAAGUCAUUAAAUAAAAUUAUCAUGCAAAAUAUGCACUUGACGCUAUUUUCAAGUUUACAGCAGAAACCCUUUUCAAGAACCUAAUUAUUAACCCUUUGUAAACUAUUUGCUGGUAUUCAUAGUCUUAAGCAAUUUGCUAUUUAUUUAUCCUUGAAUUUGAAAGUAAUGUUAGUGAAGAACCUGGUUUCGGGGGGAGCCUAAGGAUUGUUUCGGGCCUCGUCGGGUUGACGAUAUCGUGGCAUAGAGUAUUGGUCAAUGGCUUUGUAUGAAUGGUGAUGGGUGAAUGUCUGUUAAUUUUCUUGUAUGUUGUAUUUUUAGAUUCAUGAAGAACCUUAUUUUCAUUUUAUUAUCUAUAUAUAUAUAUUAUAAAAAUGAAUGUUUGGUGUAUGUCCUUUAUAGACUCAGAAACUAUU
Long non-coding RNA from Homalodisca vitripennis (glassy-winged sharpshooter), 1372 nucleotides. RefSeq lists it as uncharacterized. Lineage: Eukaryota; Metazoa; Arthropoda; Insecta; Hemiptera; Cicadellidae. The record is from RefSeq and is a predicted model, not a curated record. The transcript has 3 exons.